CCUACGGGUGGCAGCAGUGAGGAAUAUUGGUCAAUGGGCGGAAGCCUGAACCAGCCAAGUAGCGUGAAGGAUGACUGCCCUAUGGGUUGUAAACUUCUUUUAUAUGGGAAUAAAAUGUUCCACGUGUGGGAUUUUGUAUGUACCAUAUGAAUAAGGAUCGGCUAACGCCGUGCCAGCAGCCGCGGUAAUACGGAGGAUCCGAGCGUUAUCCGGAUUUAUUGGGUUUAAAGGGAGCGUAGGUGGAUUGUUAAGUCAGUUGUGAAAGUUUGCGGCUCAACCGUAAAAUUGCAGUUGAAACUGGCAGUCUUGAGUACAGUAGAGGUGGGCGGAAUUCGUGGUGUAGCGGUGAAAUGCUUAGAUAUCACGAAGAACUCCGAUUGCGAAGGCAGCUCACUGGACUGCAACUGACACUGAGGCUCGAAAGUGUGGGUAUCAAACAGGAGUAGAUACCCCAGUAGUC
This 460-nucleotide ribosomal RNA is filed under the name uncultured bacterium. RNAcentral's name for it is "partial 16S ribosomal RNA". It matches the Rfam family "Bacterial small subunit ribosomal RNA", at positions 338 to 795 of the family's 1533-position model. The record is from RNAcentral.